Molecule: long non-coding RNA, 624 nt
Filed under: Triticum aestivum (bread wheat)
Lineage: Eukaryota; Viridiplantae; Streptophyta; Magnoliopsida; Poales; Poaceae
Description: long non-coding RNA (TAES_LNC013800)
Source: RNAcentral
CAAGGUGGGUUGUCCUAUUGUCGUUGGUGGUGUGGUCAUGAAAGGGAUUGCCUAUCGGGUGCUUGCCUAUCAGAAGAUGUGAUGGGGGUAAUGGCCAUGUGCUGCUCUGUUCAUUAGUGCAGAUGCGUGUGCACUUGUGGUGAGCACUCUGGUUGUGGUAACUGGGAACUGCCUGCAAGAGCAGAUAACCAUGUAGAAAUAAAUGGUUUGUUGCGUACGUGUCUUGAUCCGUUGUGUGUCAUGGACCAGUGGUUUUGACUUGAUGUAAUUGUGUCUAAGCGUACUUCUUCCUGGUAAUGGUGUUGGUGCACUUGGUUUGAUGAAGAAUGUUUUUUUGAGCCUUGGUUUGAUGAAGAAUGUUUUUUUGAGCCUUGGUUUGAUGAAGAAUGUUGUGUUUGCUUUCAACUUUUGUUUGUGCUUGUGAAAGUACUGAUUGUGAGGUUCUCCGUUUGCACGCUGUUCAGGGGUCUGGUUUAUGUACUGUGGACUUGGCCACUUUGCUUUUUGUAGCGGCAACUUUGUCAAUUUUCCACAUACUGGUCAAGUUUGUAAGCUUUUGACAGUGAAGCGAUAAGCUGGAACUGUUGUGCCUGAUGAUGUCCAACUUAUCCAUACAAUUUUGAG